This 3114-nucleotide ribosomal RNA is filed under the name Triticum aestivum (bread wheat). RNAcentral's name for it is "partial small subunit ribosomal RNA". The record is from RNAcentral. Lineage: Eukaryota; Viridiplantae; Streptophyta; Magnoliopsida; Poales; Poaceae.
AUGGGCUGGGUGCAGGACCCUCAUAUUCAAGAGCUGCUUCUCAAGCAGACGGAUAACGCAAGAGCUGCCGCCCGAGAGAAAGCCAAGAUGGAUCAACUUGAGUUAGACGCGGUUACUCCAUUGUAUGAAGGAUGCAGGCCCGAGGAUACCCGCCUGAAAGUAACGCUCAUGGCUCUGGAGAUGAAGGUAAAACACAAAAUGACCGACGCAUGCUUCGACGAGAACAUGUCAUUCUGGCACGAACGUCUUCCCAAGGGGAACAAGUGCCCGACCAGUUUGGAGGAGGCGAAGAAAAUCGUGUGUCCUCUGGAUUUACCGCACGUGAAAUACCAUGUGUGCAUGAACAAUUGCAUCAUUUAUCGGGACGAGCGCGCGGAGUCUACCAUAUGUCCGGUGUGCGGUGUCACUCGAUACAAGAAGAGGAAGAAAGCUCCUCGAAAAGUGGUGUGGUACUUUCCGAUCACUCCUCGUCUGCAGCGGUAUUUCGCGGACCCUAAGGUAGCAAAGCUCCUGCGUUGGCACACGGAUAGGGAGGAGAAGAAGCGAGAAGAUGACGCAAAUGAUCCGGAGAUAGAUAAAAAAGACAAGAUGUUGAGUCACCCUAAGGAUGCAAGCCAGUGGCAAGCGUUGAACUUCGAAUACCCAGAAUUUGGGAACGAUCCAAGGAACAUCAUGCUGGGCGCGAGCACCGAUGGAGUCAAUCCGUUUGGCAGCCAGAGAAGCACACAUAGCACCUGGCCUGUGUUCGUGUGGAUGUACAACCUUCCCCCCUGGUUGUGCAUGAAGAGGAAGUACAUUCACAUGAGUAUGCUAAUUGAAGGGCCGAAACAACCAGGGAACGACAUCAAUCUGUAUCUGGGGCUGCUGAAAGAGGAGAUUGACAUGCUGUGGAAAACGCUAGCCAAUACGUGGGACACCGCAGAGAAAGAAUAUUUCCCUAUGAGAGCCGCACUGCUCACGAUGGUGCACGACUAUCUCGGUUACGGAUAUCUUGCGGGCCAGGUAGUCCACGGAUUUUCUGGAUGCGUAAGGUGCAUGGAUGACACAACGUAUCGCCAGCUAGAUAGAGAUCCCGGGUCUUUGAAAACCGUGUUCAUGGGACAUCGAAGGUGGCUUCGCGACGAUGACCCAUGGAGGAAACGCAAGGAUCUGUUCGAUGGUGAAACCGAACCCCGAAAACGCCCGUGUACGAGGAGCGGCGAGGAAAUAGACAAGCUGUUGAAAAAUUGGAAAGACUGCCCACUGCCGGGAAAGAAGCAAAAGGCGCCAGAGCCGCUACUGAAGGUAUGGAAAACGAGGUCUGUUUUCUGGGACUUGUCGUACUGGAAGAUCCACCGUGUGCCUCACAGCCUUGAUGUCAUGCAUAUCACGAAGAACGUGUGCGAGAGUCUGCUUGGUACCCUGCUCAACAUGCCAGAGAGGACCAAAGAUGGGCCGAAAGCAAGGGCAGACUUGAAAUCAAUGGGCAUCAGGCAGGAGCUUCACGCUAUAUAUGAUGAUGAUGAUGAUGAUGAUGAUGAUGAUGAUGAUGAUGAUGAGGCGAAGCAGGACACAGAAAGUCGUCGCAAAGGCAAAAAGGCCAAGAAGACCGGAAAUGACUACCCUCUCGCGUGCUUCACUCUAAGCCAGGAGGAGAUCGAGCAGUUUUUCACCUGCCUCCUAGGAGUAAAACUUCCUUACGGUUACGCGGGGAAGAUAAGCAAAUACCUAGACCCAACGAAGCAGAAGUUCAGCAGGAUGAAGUCUCACGACUGUCACGUGCUGAUGACGCAGAUACUUCCAGUUGCAAUCCGUGGGAUCAUGGACGCGCACGUCCGUGAAAUGCUAUUUGGCCUAUGCAAGUUCUUCGACGUCAUCUCUCGGAAGUCGAUUGGCGUGAGGCAACUCAGAAGGCUACAGGAAGAGAUCGUGGUGAUACUAUGCGAGCUUGAGAUGUACUUCCCGCCCGCAUUCUUCGACGUUAUGGUGCAUCUGUUGGUCCAUAUAGUGGAGGAUAUCAUCCAACUCGGGCCGAGGUUCCUGCACAGCAUGAUGCCGUUCGAAAGGAUGAAUGGUGUCAUCAAAGGAUACGUUCGCAACAUGUCACGUCUAGAGGGAAGCAUAGCCAGGGGCUUUCUGACCAAAGAGUGCAUCUCCUACUGCACGAAUUAUCUAGGCAUCGAGAACCCCGUUGGUCUGCCCGUCAACAGGCACCUCGGCAGGCUCGCUGGAUGGGGUCACCGUGAGGGUCGCCGCGAAAUGCAUGUUGACUUCGAGGGUCGACUCGCCGACUUUGAAAGAGCAAACCUAGUCGCGCUACACCACAUAGACGUGGUCGAUCCUUGGGUGGUAGAGCACAAAACCUUUAUUAAGAAGACGUACAAUGAUCGAGGCCAACAGAGGACGGACGGAGAUAUACUCAAAGAGCACAACUCAUGUUUCACGUGUUGGUUCAAGCAGAAGCUUCUGUCGUACCCUUUACAUGAGGAUUUUUCCGCGGAAGAACAACUCAUAUUCGCCUUGUCACAGGGCGCCGAGCACAACCUGAUGACCUAUGAGGCGUACGAUAUCAACGGCUACACAUUCUACACCGAGGCCAAGGACAUGAAGAGCGAUGGUUAUCAGAACUCCGGGGUAACGAUGGAAUCCUACACCGGUAACAACAAGGACAGAUACUACGGAAGGAUCGAGGAGAUCUGGGAGCUGAGCUACGCUGGAGAGAAGGUCCCGAUGUUCCGUGUCAGAUGGGCCAAGAGCGUCCUAAAAGAAGACCGGUAUUUCACCACCAUGGUUAUACCCGAAGCCAAAUCCAAGACCGCGGGCGCAAAAGUCACCGCGAAAAAUGAGCCAUGGGUACUGGCUUCCCAAGUGGACCAAUGCUUCUUCAUUACCGACCCGUCAAAGACCAGUCGUGUUGUCGUGAGGAGAGGCAAAAGGAAGAUCAUCGGAAUGGAUGGAGUAGCCAAUGAGCAAGACUUCGACAAGUACGGCGACCCGAGGAUCGAACAUGACGACGAUGAUGAAGUAGCAGCAUACACCACAAGAAGAAGCAGGACCACCCUACCUAAAGGACAUCCGUUCCACAGAAGAACUCCAUUUGCGAAAAAGAAGGGCAAGAAGAUUGUUAACAGAUAG